GCCGCGGUGAAUACGUUCCCAGGCCUUGUACACACCGCCCGUCACACCAUGGGAGUUGGAUUCACCCGAAGGCGUUGCGCUAACUCGCAAGAGAGGCAGGCGACCACGGUGGGUUUAGCGACUGGGGUGAAGUCGUAACAAGGUAGCCGUAGGGGAACCUGCGGCUGGAUCACCUCCUUUCUAAGG
This 186-nucleotide ribosomal RNA is filed under the name Nostoc sp. 3335mG. Its description in RNAcentral is "partial 16S ribosomal RNA". It matches the Rfam family "Bacterial small subunit ribosomal RNA", at positions 1356 to 1533 of the family's 1533-position model. The record is from RNAcentral. Lineage: Bacteria; Bacillati; Cyanobacteriota; Cyanophyceae; Nostocales; Nostocaceae.